CAGUCGCCGCGGUAAUACGUAGGGUGCAAGCGUUAAUCGGAAUUACUGGGCGUAAAGCGUGCGCAGGCGGUUUGUUAAGACAGAUGUGAAAUCCCCGGGCUCAACCUGGGAACUGCAUUUGUGACUGGCAAGCUAGAGUGUGGCAGAGGGGGGUGGAAUUCCGCGUGUAGCAGUGAAAUGCGUAGAUAUGCGGAGGAACACCGAUGGCGAAGGCAGCCCCCUGGGCCAACACUGACGCUCAUGCACGAAAGCGUGGGGAGCAAACAGGAUUAGAUACCCCAGUAGUCCCUGUCUCUUAUAC
Molecule: ribosomal RNA, 301 nt
Filed under: uncultured bacterium
Lineage: Bacteria
Description: partial 16S ribosomal RNA
Rfam family: Bacterial small subunit ribosomal RNA
Source: RNAcentral